UUUCACACUGUCAAGAAAAGCUUCUAUCGAGUUUAAAGGCGCCCGUACCGUAAACCGACACAGGUGGGUGAGGAGAGUAUCCUAAGGCCAGCGAGAGAACUAUUGUUAAGGAACUCGGCAAAAUGACCCCGUAACUUAGGGAGAAGGGGUGCCUGUCUAUGACAGGCCGAAGAGAAUAGGCCCAAGCGACUGUUUACAAAAAACACAGGUUUCUGCUAAGUCGCAAGACGAUGUAUAGGAGCUGACGCCUGCCCGGUGCUGGACGGUUAAGGGGAUCUGUUAGAGCAAUCGAAGCAGUGAACUUAAGCCCCAGUAAACGGCGGCCGUAACGAUAACGGUCCUAAGGUAGCGAAAUUCCUUGUCGGGUAAGUUCCGACCCGCACGAAAGGCGUAACGAUUUGGGCGCUGUCUCAACAAUAGACUCGGUGAAAUUGUAAUCCCGGUGAAGAUGCCGGGUACCUGCGACAGGACGGAAAGACCCCAUGGAGCUUUACUGUAGCUUGACGUUGGGUCUUGGUACUACAUGUACAGGAUAGGUGGGAGACUAUGAAGCAUGGACGCCAGUCUGUGUGGAGUCAUCCUUGGGAUACCACCCUUGUAGUACUGGGAUCCUAACCAUAGGCCUUGAAUCAGGUCUUGGAACACCGUCAGGUGGGCAGUUUGACUGGGGCGGUCGCCUCCUAAAAAGUAACGGAGGCGCUCAAAGGUUUCCUCAGCACGGUCGGAAAUCGUGCGAAGAGUGUAAAGGCAAAAGGAAGCUUGAUUGCAAGACAUACAGGUCGAGCAAGGACGAAAGUCGGACUUAGUGAUCCGGUGGUACCGCAUGGAAGGGCCAUCGCUCAACGGAUAAAAGCUACCCUGGGGAUAACAGGCUUAUCUCCCCCAAGAGUCCACAUCGACGGGGAGGUUAGGCACCUCGAUGUCGGCUCAUCACAUCCUGGGGCUGUAGCAGGUCCCAAGGGUUGGGCUGUUCGCCCAUUAAAGUGGUACGCGAGCUGGGUUCAGAACGUCGUGAGACAGUUCGGUCCCUAUCCGUCGCAGGCGUAGGAAAUUUGAGAAGACCUGUCCUUAGUACGAGGGGACCGGGAUGGACGUACCUCUGGUGUACCAGUUGUUCUGCCAAGGGCAUGGCUGGGUAGCUAUGUACGGAAUGGAUAAGCGCUGAAAGCAUCUAAGCGCGAAGCCAACUUCAAGAUAAGAUUUCCCACCGUAAGGGUAAGACCCCAGGAAGACUACCUGGUUGAUAGGUCGGAGGUGUAAGUGCAGUAAUGUAUUUAGCUUAUCGAUACUAAUAGGUCGAGGACUUGAAC
Molecule: ribosomal RNA, 1310 nt
Filed under: metagenome
Description: bacterial LSU rRNA
Rfam family: Bacterial large subunit ribosomal RNA
Source: RNAcentral